AGGGUGAUAGAUUGCACCACCACCUCCAAAUGAUGCACCUGUACCAUUAGCUCCACCACCACGACCCCUAUCACCAUCAAAAUCACCUGAAGAACUAGCAAACAAUAACCUAGCUCCAAUGCAACGAGGAAAGAGGGUGAAAAUGGUGAGGGAUCGCACACCACCUCUUCCAAAUGAUGCACCUGUACCACCAACUCCACCACCACCACUACCAUCACCAUCACCUGAAGAACUAGUAAAUAAUAACCUAGCUCCAAUGCAACGAGGAAAGAGGGUGAAAAUGGUAAGGGAUCGUACACCUCCUCCUCCAAAUGAUGCACUUGUACCACUAGCUCCACCACCACCACC
Molecule: non-coding RNA, 348 nt
Organism: Malus domestica (apple)
Lineage: Eukaryota; Viridiplantae; Streptophyta; Magnoliopsida; Rosales; Rosaceae
Source: RefSeq, a predicted model, not a curated record